This 301-nucleotide ribosomal RNA is filed under the name uncultured bacterium. RNAcentral's name for it is "partial 16S ribosomal RNA". It matches the Rfam family "Bacterial small subunit ribosomal RNA", at positions 509 to 807 of the family's 1533-position model. The record is from RNAcentral.
CAGUCGCCACGGUAAUACAGAGGGUGCGAGCGUUAAUCGGAUUUACUGGGCGUAAAGCGUGCGUAGGCGGCUUCUUAAGUCGGAUGUGAAAUCCCUGAGCUUAACUUAGGAAUUGCAUUCGAUACUGGAAAGCUAGAGUAUGGGAGAGGAUGGUAGAAUUCCAGGUGUAGCGGUGAAAUGCGUAGAGAUCUGGAGGAAUACCGAUGGCGAAGGCAGCCAUCUGGCCUAAUACUGACGCUGAGGUACGAAAGCAUGGGGAGCAAACAGGAUUAGAGACCCCGGUAGUCCCUGUCUCUUAUAC